This 412-nucleotide ribosomal RNA is filed under the name Rhizobium leguminosarum. RNAcentral's name for it is "bacterial SSU rRNA". It matches the Rfam family "Bacterial small subunit ribosomal RNA", at positions 9 to 451 of the family's 1533-position model. Lineage: Bacteria; Pseudomonadati; Pseudomonadota; Alphaproteobacteria; Hyphomicrobiales; Rhizobiaceae. The record is from RNAcentral.
GAGUUUGAUCCUGGCUCAGAACGAACGCUGGCGGCAGGCUUAACACAUGCAAGUCGAGCGCCCCGCAAGGGGAGCGGCAGACGGGUGAGUAACGCGUGGGAAUCUACCCUUGACUACGGAAUAACGCAGGGAAACUUGUGCUAAUACCGUAUGUGUCCUUCGGGAGAAAGAUUUAUCGGUCAAGGAUGAGCCCGCGUUGGAUUAGCUAGUUGGUGGGGUAAAGGCCUACCAAGGCGACGAUCCAUAGCUGGUCUGAGAGGAUGAUCAGCCACAUUGGGACUGAGACACGGCCCAAACUCCUACGGGAGGCAGCAGUGGGGAAUAUUGGACAAUGGGCGCAAGCCUGAUCCAGCCAUGCCGCGUGAGUGAUGAAGGCCCUAGGGUUGUAAAGCUCUUUCACCGGAGAAGAUAA